This 301-nucleotide ribosomal RNA is filed under the name uncultured bacterium. RNAcentral's name for it is "partial 16S ribosomal RNA". It matches the Rfam family "Bacterial small subunit ribosomal RNA", at positions 509 to 807 of the family's 1533-position model. The record is from RNAcentral.
CAGUAGCCGCGGGAAUACGGAGGAUCCAAGCGUUAUCCGGAAUCAUUGGGUUUAAAGGGUCCGUAGGCGGUCUUGUAAGUCAGUGGUGAAAGCCCAUCGCUCAACGGUGGAACGGCCAUUGAUACUGCAGGACUUGAAUUAUUGGGAAGUAACUAGAAUAUGUAGUGUAGCGGUGAAAUGCUUAGAGAUUACAUGGAAUACCAAUUGCGAAGGCAGGUUACUACCAAUUGAUUGACGCUGAUGGACGAAAGCGUGGGUAGCGAACAGGAUUAGAGACCCGCGUAGUCCCUGUCUCUUAUAC